This 450-nucleotide ribosomal RNA is filed under the name uncultured bacterium. RNAcentral describes it as "partial 16S ribosomal RNA". It matches the Rfam family "Bacterial small subunit ribosomal RNA", at positions 330 to 795 of the family's 1533-position model. The record is from RNAcentral.
UCCAGACUCCUACGGGAGGCAGCAGUGGGGAAUAUUGCACAAUGGGGGGAACCCUGAUGCAGCGACGCCGCGUGGGCGAGGAAGUAUUUCGGUAUGUAAAGCCCUAUCGGCAGGGAAGAAGAAAUGACGGUACCUGAAUAAGAAGCACCGGCUAAAUACGUGCCAGCAGCCGCGGUAAUACGUAUGGUGCAAGCGUUAUCCGGAUUUACUGGGUGUAAAGGGAGCGCAGGCGGCCUUGCAAGUCUGAUGUGAAAGGCCGGGGCCCAACCCCGGGACUGCAUUGGAAACUGCGAGGCUGGAGUGUCGGAGAGGGAGGCGGAAUUCCUAGUGUAGCGGUGAAAUGCGUAGAUAUUAGGAGGAACACCAGUGGCGAAGGCGGCCUACUGGACGGUGACUGACGCUGAGGCUCGAAAGCGUGGGGAGCAAACAGGAUUAGAUACCCGCGUACCC